RNAcentral lists this ribosomal RNA (455 nucleotides) under Micrococcus sp. RNAcentral describes it as "bacterial SSU rRNA". It matches the Rfam family "Bacterial small subunit ribosomal RNA", at positions 78 to 547 of the family's 1533-position model. The record is from RNAcentral. Lineage: Bacteria; Bacillati; Actinomycetota; Actinomycetes; Micrococcales; Micrococcaceae.
AUUAGCUGGGUGGAUUAGUGGCGAACGGGUGAGUAACACGUGAGUAACCUGCCCUUAACUCUGGGAUAAGCCUGGGAAACUGGGUCUAAUACCGGAUAGGAGCGUCCACCGCAUGGUGGGUGUUGGAAAGAUUUAUCGGUUUUGGAUGGACUCGCGGCCUAUCAGCUUGUUGGUGAGGUAAUGGCUCACCAAGGCGACGACGGGUAGCCGGCCUGAGAGGGUGACCGGCCACACUGGGACUGAGACACGGCCCAGACUCCUACGGGAGGCAGCAGUGGGGAAUAUUGCACAAUGGGCGAAAGCCUGAUGCAGCGACGCCGCGUGAGGGAUGACGGCCUUCGGGUUGUAAACCUCUUUCAGUAGGGAAGAAGCGAAAGUGACGGUACCUGCAGAAGAAGCACCGGCUAACUACGUGCCAGCAGCCGCGGUAAUACGUAGGGUGCGAUCGUUAUCCG